AGGUAAGUGGAUCUUACGCUCCUUAUUUAUUUUUAAAUUUUUAUGAUUUUCAUGCAUCUGAUCUUUUAUUGAUGAAAUCAUAUUUUUCAUAAAAUAAGGAUCAGCAUAUGUGAUAUGAAAAAGUAUAUUUUAUUAUAAGCAUUGAUUUCAUGAAUAUGUCCUAUGAAAAUAGCAUGGUUAUGAAGUAUGAAUUUUAUGAUUUUGCUAUCUAUAUAUAUGUAUGUUUUAAGAAAAAGAUAUAAUAAUUUCAAAGGCUCUCAAAUAGCUAUGAAUGAAUCCUUUCGGGAAGGUCGACAUCUGGAGCUAGCAUCUAUAAGAACAC
This 322-nucleotide long non-coding RNA is filed under the name Elaeis guineensis (African oil palm). RNAcentral describes it as "long non-coding RNA (EGUI_LNC003478)". Lineage: Eukaryota; Viridiplantae; Streptophyta; Magnoliopsida; Arecales; Arecaceae. The record is from RNAcentral.